Molecule: microRNA, 17 nt
Filed under: Corchorus capsularis
Lineage: Eukaryota; Viridiplantae; Streptophyta; Magnoliopsida; Malvales; Malvaceae
Description: sRNA CCACVL1_20967
Source: RNAcentral
UGGGUGGUUUGUUGUUG